This 848-nucleotide long non-coding RNA is filed under the name Hordeum vulgare. Its description in RNAcentral is "long non-coding RNA (HVUL_LNC001352)". The record is from RNAcentral. Lineage: Eukaryota; Viridiplantae; Streptophyta; Magnoliopsida; Poales; Poaceae.
CCACAAUUCAUCGGAUCUCGACAAACACACGGCCAUAGAAGAUUACAUCGGAUAGAUCUCCAUGAAGAUCAUGGAGAACUUUGUAUUGAAGAUCGAAGAGAGAGAAGAAUCCAUCUAGCUACUAACUACGGACCCGUAGGUCUGAAGUGAACUACUCACGAGUCAUUGGAGGGGCGAUGAUGAUGAUGAAGAAGCCCUCCAACUCCAAAGUCCCCUCCGGCAGGGCGCCGGGAAGGGUCUCCAGAUGAGAUCUCGCGGAAACGGAAGCUUGCGGCGGCGGAAAAGUAUUUUCGAGGCUCCCCUGAUUUUUUGCGGAAUAUUUGGGAAUGUAUAGGGGCAAGACCAAGGUUAGGGGGCGGCCAGGGAGGCCACAAGCCCGCCCACCGUCGCCUCCCCCUGGUGGCAGAGUGGGGGCUUGUGGGCUCCCUGGAGCCCACCUGGCUUGGCCCAAAAGCCCCGUGGACUUCUUCCGUUCGGGAAAAAAUCAUUUCGGGGUUUUUCUACCGUUUGGACUCCGUUCCAAAAUCAGAUCUGAAAAGAGUCAAAAACACAGAAAAACAGGAACUGGCACUUGGCACUGAAUCAAUAAGUUAGACCCAAAAAGAUAUAAAAAGGUACAUAAAAAUACAAGGAAGACAAGAUAACAGCGUGAAACCAUCAAAAAUUAUAGAUACGUUUGCGACGUAUCAAGCAUCCCCAAGCUUAACUCCUGCUCGUCCUCGAGUAGGGAAGUGAUAAGAAUGAAUUUUUGAUGCUUUCAUGCUACCUAGCAUAGGUGUCCUUUGUAAUUCCUCUUAUGUGACGUGAAUGUUCAGAUCCAUUAGAUUCAAAACAAUAGUUUGCUAUUG